GUGAAACAGAGGUAUUUUUAUCCAAGAAAUCGAUUGGUGGUAGUCCCAAUCUUCUGUGACUUACAGCUAAGAAGUUACGGGUUCGAACCCCAGAUAAUAAGUUGUGUUUUAAAGUGUCCGUUUUCUUCGACCGAAUAUUGUAUUUUAUGUUGUUUUUUUUUUAAUGAGAAAUCAUUUGGUGCGGUUUUUAGGACUCUUGGUCAUACAAAUAAAAAGUUAUGGGUUCGAACCUUGUAUGAGCAGAUUAAUUUGAGCGUGAAAAAGUCACCUCUCUUCUCUGUUUCUUUUCUUUCUAGUUAGGUAUGAUUUGGGAUAUUAGUGUCUCAAACUAUUUUGAAAAAGAAAAGAAUAGUAACAUCUACUGGCAAAAAAAAAAAAAAAAAAAAAAAAAAAAAAACCGUUGAAGAAGUUACAUUGUGAGAAUUUUAGCACCUACCUACCUAAUCAUUGUAAAAUAUCUUUUCUCUUCUUCUUCUUCUUCUUCUUCUUCUACUGUUAUAAAUGUAAUUUCAAAAAUGUAAAAAAUAAAUAUAAAACUAUUCAAUUCAAUUCUUCUCUUUGACCCAACUCUAGGUUCGAACCCUUAUUUGUACGCCCAAGAGGCCUAAAAAACGCACCAAACGAUUUCUCUUAAAAAAAUACAUAAAAUACAAUAUUCGGUCGAAGAAAACGCACACUUUAAAACACAACUUAUUUUCUGGGGUUCGAACCCGUAACUUCUUAGCUGUAAGUCACAGAAGAUUGGGACUACCACUAGUCGAUUUCUGGGAUAAAAUACCCCUGUUUCACUCUUUUGUACUACCUAAAUACCUAAUGGCG
This 819-nucleotide long non-coding RNA is filed under the name Olea europaea subsp. europaea. Lineage: Eukaryota; Viridiplantae; Streptophyta; Magnoliopsida; Lamiales; Oleaceae. The record is from RNAcentral.